This 610-nucleotide ribosomal RNA is filed under the name uncultured bacterium. Its description in RNAcentral is "bacterial SSU rRNA". It matches the Rfam family "Bacterial small subunit ribosomal RNA", at positions 60 to 663 of the family's 1533-position model. The record is from RNAcentral.
AGUCGAGGGGCAGCGCGGGAUAGCAAUAUCCUGGCGGCGACCGGCGGAAGGGUGCGUAACGCGUGAGCGACAUGCCCGUUGCCCGGGGACAACCGGUGGAAACGCCGACUAAUCCCCGAUGGGAUAUUGUGCCGCAUGGCACGAUAUUGAAAGUUACGGCGGCGACGGAUUGGCUCGCGUCCGAUUAGCUUGUUGGCGGGGUAACGGCCCACCAAGGCUACGAUCGGUAGGGGUUCUGAGAGGAAGGCCCCCCACAAUGGGACUGAGACACGGCCCAUACUCCUACGGGAGGCAGCAGUGAGGAAUAUUGGUCAAUGGGCGGAAGCCUGAACCAGCCAUGCCGCGUGCGGGAAGGAGGCCCUAUGGGCUGUGAACCGCUUUUGCCUGGGGGCAAUAAGGGCGUCGCGCACGUCCGAUGAGAGUACCAGGCGAAUAAGCAUCGGCUAACUCCGUGCCAGCAGCCGCGGUAAUACGGGGGAUGCGAGCGUUAUCCGGAUUCAUUGGGUUUAAAGGGUGCGUAGGCUGUGCGUCAAGUCGGGGGUGAAAUUCCGGUGCUCAACACCGGGGCUGCCCUUGAUACUGUCGCGCUGGAGUGCGGAUGCCGCCGGAG